UGGUGGAGUGAUUUGUCUGGUUAAUUCCGUUAACGAACGAGACCUCUACCUGCUAAAUAGUCCGCUUCAAGUUUCGGCUUGGAGACGUUUGACUUCUUAGAGGGACUAUCGGUGUGUAGCCGAUGGAAGUUGGAGGCAAUAACA
RNAcentral lists this ribosomal RNA (144 nucleotides) under uncultured eukaryote. Its description in RNAcentral is "partial 18S ribosomal RNA". It matches the Rfam family "Eukaryotic small subunit ribosomal RNA", at positions 1299 to 1458 of the family's 1831-position model. The record is from RNAcentral.